AGUGAACGCUGGCGGUAGGCCUAACACAUGCAAGUCGAACGGCAGCACAGUACUAGCUUGCUCUUACGGGUGGCGAGUGGCGGACGGUUGCUGAAUACAUCGGAAUCUACUUUUUCGUGGGGGCUAACGUAGGGACACUUACGCUAAUACCGCAUACGACCUACGUGUGAAAGCAGGGGAUCUUCGGACCUUGCGCGAUUGAAUGAGCCGAUGUCGGAUUAGCUAGUUGGCGGGGUAAAGGCCCACCAAGGCGACGAUCCGUAGCUGGUCUGAGAGGAUGAUCAGCCACACUGGAACUGAGACACGGUCCAGACUCCUACGGGAGGCAGCAGUGGGGAAUAUUGGACAAUGGGCGCAAGCCUGAUCCAGACAUACCGCGUGGGUGAAGAAGGCCUUCGGGUUGUAAAGCACUUUUGGUGGGAAAGAAAAGCAGCAGGUUAAUACCCCGCUGUUCUGACGGUACCAAAAGAAUAAGCACCGGCUAACUUCGUG
This 492-nucleotide ribosomal RNA is filed under the name uncultured bacterium. Its description in RNAcentral is "partial 16S ribosomal RNA". It matches the Rfam family "Bacterial small subunit ribosomal RNA", at positions 29 to 507 of the family's 1533-position model. The record is from RNAcentral.